UUUUUUUUGUUUUUUUUCAAAGCUUUAGGGAACUUAACACUUUCUUAUUAAGUCAUUUCAAAUUGUGGAUAAUCAGCAUAGUAUAUACAAGCACCAGCUUCUUUGACGUUCUUGAGCGUUAGCUUCUUCAUGUGCACAGUUGGGAUAAAUAUAUAAUGCCUACCUCACCUUAGAGGAUUAUGAAGAUUAAGUGGGCUAAACUAUGUAAAACCUCAGUUUACAAACAGCUGGUUAGUGGUGGAGCCGGUACUGAAAUCCAGGAUUACCUAACUCCUGAGACUGUCUUUGACUCUUUAUUUUGAAAUGAGUUGAACAUACAGGAAAGUUGCAAGAGUCAUACAAAGAACUUCUGUAUACUCUUCCUCCAGAUUAACCAAUUGUUCAGCUCUUGCUGCCUGAGCCCAUGUUUUCCAUCAGAGUGCUGUGGGGUCUGGAAUAGUCUAUAAAAUGGGUACCAUAAUUGUUCUGACCUUGGGGGCCCAUUAUGAAGGUUGAAUGAGUUCACACAUGUGAAAAAUAAGAUGCAUAAAUGAAUAGCUGCAGCAAAGCCUAACAGGACCUCUGACCAGUGAGGAGCCUAGUGUAGUGACAAAGUAGGAAGUAAGCCUUUCCCCCAGGGUGAAGGAAAGUGGGAGCUUGGAAAGCCUGCAGAGGAGGUGACCUCUGAGGUCAGUCUUUAAACCCCAGCCAUCCAGGAUCAGAACAAAACAGUGAUUUCCAUGCUCCACCCUUAGUCUUCUCCCAGAGAAAGGGCUGAAUUUGAAAUAUAUAUAUAUAUAUCUAAGGAAUAUUAUCUGAAUGUGAAUUUGGAGAAGUCAGCGCUGCUAGUUCUACCACCACCCAUGGAGGAGAGGUCACACCCAGCAUUUCCAAACUUAUUACUGUGAAGAUUAGAACAUCCCUCUGCCCCAUCUCCUAGCAAAUCCCCAGCCCCGGAGGAGAAUCAUGGUUUCCCAGGACUUAUCAUGAUUCUCAGAAGUGAGAAGUGGCCUUUCCAAAGCAUCUUCUCACUGAGCUGCACAAAGUCAAAUCCUUGUCCAAACGCAUGAAAACCACUUAAAUACCAUGCAAAGCCCACAUAAAACAUCUCCAUACACACACACAAAAAGGAUGUUCUUUGACUAAUUCUCUCAGGAGGUAAACCAUAACGGCUUGAAGGAGUUGACGUCUGCCAUCCAGGCCUUCAAGUUCAAGGAGAACGCACACAGCCACUGCAAGCAACGUCCAAAUACCCAAAACAGAUCUGACCCCUACCUUGUAAAAAGUUCUGUAUCCCACAAAAACAAGCCUGAAGAGGAUCGAUUUUGCAGAGUAAGCGUGACCCACUCCUUUUGUCUGUCGGUUCUCAUUCGACUUUUGGACUUAAUUGUGGAGAGUUAUAAUUAGAUCGUGCUUUGCCUUUUUUUCCCCCUUGAACUGAUAAAAAGUGCCGUAAAUCCUGGACAUCAUCCACGAGUACAGUCACUGAUGAAUUUUGCUAUUUUUUGCACAUCACACCAUAUGCAGGCCCGGCUGAGAGGCAUGGUUCCGUAUUCCUGGCAUGCAGGAGAGUCACUGAGAGAUAUCAUAUGGUCUCCUGGCAGAAGUACAAAGUGCCUCUUGCUGUUUGAUCUACUGUCUUAAACUUAAAUGCAAAAUCUGAUAAUUGGGUCAGGCAGGAGGAGAAACGGAGCCGUAAAGUUCUUUUCAUUUCCUUUUGCUAUUUCUCCACGUUUCAUCUUUUCUUCCUUUUUUGCCUGCUCUUUCUCCCACCUCCCUCUCCUUCUUUUUUUUUUUUUUAAUUUUCUCAGACCCUGAAGGAGACAGACCACCUUGCAUAUAGAAUGGAUUCAAAAAGGAGGUGGGUUUAUGGCUGGAUGACCCAUCAGAGAGUCUCCAGUCACCUCCGUCAGCUCCUCACUAGAUGCAGGUUAAAUUUUUGCCCCAUUAGCAACAGUCCUGGAUAACCAUCUCAAGCUUUGCAAAAGCCAAAGUCAUGGCUGGGUUUUACUUGUUUAGAAAUAUUACUGCCUUUCCAGACUUGGAUUUGUUUAAUGUAAAAGGAAUCCCAUCAUAGUCUCUCUGGUUUAGGGCAUUAAGCAGACAGAGGCUUGCACUUCAAAGAACACAAGAGAUAAAUGAAAACUGAACCCCCUCUUCAGGCAGAAGACUGUGAUAUGAAAUGUCUGACUUAGACCUUUUUGCCCAAUUGUUUCUAAACAGGGAGAGAGAACUUUUCAUUCUUGAUUUCGCCACUCUAAGACCUGUUGCAGAAUCGCCUGUGUAGUUCCUGAAUUGUUUUCACUGGAUGUAAACCCAAAUAUGGCUUCUUCCUAAUAUAUGUGAAUUUAGUGCUCCCUAAGGAGGGGACAAAGUUCAGAAGUGACAAAGCUCUUUGUCAGCAUUACUUUUUCAAAUCACAAAGGGCAGUUUCUCACCCUCAGGUGAGUCACUGACGUUUUCCCCAGGUCAGGCCACCCGCCUCACUGCAGUACCUGCUUCAUGGACACCCUGCUGCAGAGUUAGAAUGUUCCAGAAAUUUCCUCCCCCAGAGACCACCUGGGGAUUGGGGAGGGGGUGCCUGGGAGCAAGGCCCAUGGCUGUCCUCAUAUGGCACCCCCAUAGCAAUACUGUCAGCUGGACUAAGCAUGAAAGAACAUUCUAGACAGUCUUAGCCUUGAAUUGAAAAUUCGGUCCCGGCCACCUGAAGGGCAGGUGGGAUCAAGAAUGGAUUUUUCUCUGUGAGGAUGCAGAGCAUAAGUUUUGUCAAUGGCAGCAGAGCCACCUCCUUCCACUUGAAGCCUUUCCACUAAUGGCUUCACAAGUCACUACUUCAAUUUCUUUCUUUUUUUUUUUUUUUUAGGGCCACACCCAUGGCAUAUGAAGUUUCCCAGGCUAGGGGUCUAAUCAGAGCUAUAGUCGUCAGCCUAUGCCAGAGCCACAGCAACACCAGAUCUGAGCCAUGUCUGCGACCCACACCACAACUCAUGGCAACGUGGAAUCCUUGACCCACUGAGCGAGGCCACGGAUGGAGCUCACAACCUCAUAGUUCCUAGUUGGAUUCAUUUCUGCUGCACCACAACAGGAACUCGAGACUUCAAUUUCUAAAGCUUCCCAGCCUCGCUUCUGAUUGCUCCAUCCUUCCUGGGACCUAAGGGUCCCUGUAGAAAGUUGCAUUGCUCUAAAAGCAUCUCAGGACCAAAGCAAUAAGCCACCCAGAGCCCUGCUGUGAGCUUAGAACCAUCUCUCUUGCUCAGACACAGCAGCCAGAUCCGGAUGGAGUCCUAGAUCCAAGCAGCUGUACAGCUUGCCUUCUGGACAUUCUGGAUCCAGGGAGGCUGCAGAGAGCUGCAUCCAGAGUAUAGGCUGGGGAGGGAAAUUCAACAUCCCAGAAAGGCUGAGCAGUAUUCUUCCUGGAUGUCCAGAUUCUGGAGAGAGAAGGCUUAGGGGAAGGGGAGCCAUCCACAGAUUCUCUAGCUUGCCCAGACUUAGCAGCUGCAUUUAGGAGGCCUCCAAACUCACUCUGAUCUGAAAUGGAAAGAAACUCUUUCUCUGGAACAGGCAAUUGUGUGACAUAGUGAGUUGCAACCGUCUUUGAUGGAAGCUGCUUUGGAAGCGAACACUCAUGUUCACAGCCUGAAGAGAGCAUGGUUCUUGCACUCCCCAAAUCACAGCCCUUCCAUCAAGCAGUGAAGAUGCUGCUGUGGCUUCAGAGGACCUGGGUACUACCAUCUAUUAGUCACUCUUGCUGUUACACUGACACCAUUCCUAGGCAUCUUAUUUAACGUGACUCUGUUUCACUCCCUUCUCACCACAAUGGGGCUGGAGACUCCUUUUGUCAAAAACACUAAAUUAGACCUGUUCAAUGUAAUGUCAGAAAUGACUUAUGCAUGCCUACAAAAGGGCAGAUUUGAAACAACAGGGUCUCCCAUGUUCAGGGUUUCUGGAUGGAGUCACCCUCCCACUCAAAGGCUGACACGUCUAUAAGAGUGACUGACAGGUUAUUAAGUUCACAGUGGCUGGGGAGAGGGUCCCCCAAUCACUCCUUCCAUCCAACCCAAAGCCCAGUGGAAAAACAAACCUCAAUUUAAAAAAAAACACGUUCGUGAAUUUGCUUUAAUUUCACCCUCAAGGUUUUUUUCCAGUUACUGUAGAAAUUGGAUCCUUGUCUGGAUAUAUUUUUUAAGUGACCCUUGCUCUCAGGCUCCUGCCCUCCCCGCACUCCCUGCCCCAUCCCUUCUUCACCUCCUCCCCAUGCCUCAGUGACAAGAACCAUUUACCGUAAUUGCAGGUUCCCUGUUGGUAGCCACCAUUACCACAAAAAGUGAAAAUCGAAAACUCUUAGGUAGCAAUUAAUUUAGAAACAACGUUACCACAAUUCUUGUAUGGUGUAUGUAACCAUAAUAGCCACUUCAGUGGAAAAAGCAAAAAUAAAGGGGAGGACAAAUGACAUUAAUUUCCAUUUGCAACAAACCCAUAAUUGGAUCAAUGAUCAGAUCCUUGGGGAGAAAGUCAGCUGUCAUUGGUGGGUGAAGCCUGUGUACACACAGGAUAGAAGGAAGUGCAUGUGAGGUUGGACCUUGAAACCCAGCUGGAAGGGGUGGAGCACAUUUGAAACCCCAGAGGGAGUGGUGGUGACCCCCACGCUUUCUCUGGACUGCAGUGGUUUCUAGACCGUGGCAUCCACUUCUUCAUUCAUUAACAGGUGGCUUCAGGCACGUUUCCUGACCCUUUGGGGUUUGAUUUCUUCAUUUGCUUCCUGGGGAUUCUGAAAGUGCCCACCUCAUUAGGUUGUGAGGAUUAAAUGAGUUGAUCUCUAGAACGUACCUAAAAUGGUACCAUGUAUUUGGUAGACUGGUAAAAUGUUAGCUUCUUAUUAUUAUUCCUCAUAAUUAUUCUUUAUUAUCCAUAAGUCAAUGGAAAUAGGGGUAGUUUAGGCUUAGAAAAUGCAAACCCAUGUUUAAGCUCUCUUCCUUCUCACUGUGUCAUUUUAGGCAAGUUAGCCUCUCUGAUCUAUAAAACGGGGGUCUGUCCAGUUACAGAAAUGUGCCAGUGACACAGAGUAAGAAAUGGUAAAGCAUUUUGUAACUGAACAUGAGACCUCAGGACAUGUCUUUAUCCUGAGGACAUUAGGAUUGCCUCAGAGGGGACAGUUCCAGCAAGGCACCCUGGGUAGCCAGUCCCCUCCCUGGUGUCCAGGGGCAGGGAGCCUCCAUUUCUGCAUGGCUUCCAUGAACUGCUACCCACAGGAUCCACUGGUGUCUCCGGGUGGGACCCCCAGAGAUGUCCCUCAGCUUUUCUCUGCAGCUCUGGGGUCAGGUCAGAGGGAGGGGAGAAGCAAGGUAGAUGCUUGAUCCAGAAAUGCCCCAGAUCUCAGAGGAUACUGAGAGACGAGGAUGCCCCAGCCCUGCCGCAUGUGUGUGUUUUCUGUGUCUCAGAUUUUCAUCCGAAGAGCCCUGUAACUGGUGAGUCUGACGACCAGGAAUUCUGGGGAGGAAAUGGGGCUCCACAGAAAGUAAACAAGAACAUGCAGUACUUUAUACAAAUAUUCUCAAAGAACACUCCAAAAAUCCUUCUUCCCCACCCCCCAUGGCUGGGAGUGGAAGGGCUUUCUUCUCUCUUAUAAAUAUCUUUGCUUUUGCUCUUUUUUCUUAAUGCCUUGUUGCCCUGAAACAGCAACAAGGCAAAAAAGCCUAGGUAAAAACCAAAGUGUCUGGCCCUCUGCUGUGGAGAAUGGGGCUAAACCAGAGGCAACGAGAGGAUCGCAAGUGCAUAAAACACUGCAGAUGAUUUUUAUUUUAGUUUUCUGAUUGGUUUGUUACAGCUUUCUGAAGAUUUGGACUUCAGUAUGUAACCUAUACCCAAAUCAAUAUGCACAUACAAGUUUGUGUGCAUGAGAGUGUGUGUGGUGAAAGAACAUGUAAAGCAGUGUGUGUGUGUGUGUGUGUGUGUGUGUGCGCAUGAACAUAAGUGUGUCAGUGUUGCAUGUGCAUGGAAGUGUCUUUGAGCCUGUCUGAAUGUGUGUUGAGGGGGGCAGUUGCAUGUGCAGGAAGUGUGUGUCUGUAAGCCAGUCUGUGAAUUGUGAGUGUGGGUGUGUAUGGGUGUGUGUGUGUGCAAGAGUAUAGAUGUGUGGGUGUUGCAUGUGCAGGAAGUGUGUGUCUGUGAGCCGGUCUGUGAAUUGUGAGUGUGGGUGUAUAUGUGUGUGUGAAUAUGAGUGAAUGUCCACAAGCAUAUGAGAGGGAGCACGUGUGUGUGUGUGUGUGUGUGUGUGUGUGUGUGUGUGUGUUUGUGCUGAGAGCACUCUGGGUGUCAGCCCAGAAGAGACUCAGGACAUUUUGCAUCAGAUUCAUAGAAAAGGAGCCUGAAGUUAGGGGAGGGACAGAACACACCUAAUGGCUAGGCCAGUUCGUGGCAGAUGCCUGAUCUGAAAGCAAAGUUUCCUCCUCCAGCUCCCUUACCAUCAAGAUUCUUUUCCUUCCUCUUCGCUGACCUCUGAGACACCACCACCACCACUUCCCAGGCUGCUUUCUCACCUCCCCGUGUGCUUCUCUGGCCCUUGCUGUGAGGGACAUGCACCUGGGUCUAGAAGGGCAGAAGGGCAUCUGUCGUCCAAGGUUGACACUAAAAUGCCCUCGUACACCAUGAGGCUCAGGCUUCCCUCCCCGGAUCUUCCCUGCUCCCAUGGGGCUUAUGGAAGAACCUCAUCCUGGGUCUCCUGGCUGAGUCUGUUUGUUCUUCUCCAAGUUCCCUGGGUCAGCACAAGUCCAAGUGUGGAGGAGAUCUCUCUCUCAUCAGCAAUGUGAACACAAGGGCAGGAUGUGGGGCAUGAAUAAAUGGCAACCCCUGCCUUCCACCUACACAACUAAACUUUACCUAUUUGAACUUGAGGAAAGCAGUUUCCUAGAAUAUUUGGAGACCAAGAGCCCCGCUCCAUGUGCCAGGCUCCAUGCUCCUCAUGUGAACCUAUCCUGCAGAAGCCUCCCUUCCUGAUCCACCUGCUCUCUGAGUCACCUGUGUGCUCUGAGUCUCCCGGUUCUCUCAUCACGACAGAAAGUGCUGUGCCAGGUAAUGUCCCACUGAUCCACCAUCCAAAUCCACAUCUUGCCUGACCUUGAGCUGCCUACCUCUAAUUCUUCUCAGGCAUGGUCUAGAGCUUAAAGAGCACAUCACAUGGGAAAAAAGGCAAAGACUUUUGUGACACAGGUUUCCCCAUUCCCAGCUUUUUAUUCCACCACUCCUUUCCUGGAUGGGUCUGGCAUCUUAGUAACGGGGAGGAUGGAUUUUUAACAGUGCAAAGAGCCUGAGAGACCAUCUGAGGGCAGCCAGUUCAUGUAUCUGAGGACACUGAAAUCCUGGCAAGUACUGAUAGUUGGCCAGUCUAUGGCCAAGCUGGGAUGAGACCACGCCCCGUCCUGAGCUUUUUCACCUUCACCCGGCAGCUCCCCAGAUCUCAUACCAAUGCCUCCUCCCUGCUGGAGCUUUGAAAAGCCACUGCUGACCUGAAAAGUCCUGGAACCACUCUGCAGAGCAGGGAUGCAAAGGAUGUUGUGUCUUCCCUUUAGGUACAUAGUGAGUCUUCCUUCCAUGCUGCCCUAGGUUUAAUGCUCAAGAUGCUGACACUGCGAGACAAUGCCCUGCCCUCAAAGGGACCACAGACUGGCCUGUGGACAUCAAAUGUUCUCACCCUUGACUUCAUAUUAGAAUCACCUGGGGAGUCUCAAGUUCCAGCCAUGUUCCUGCAAAUGGCAUAAUUUUGUUCUUUUUAUGGCUAAGUAGUAUUCCAUUGUGUAUAUAUACCACAUCUUUCUAAUCCAACCAUCUGUCAAUGGCCAUUUGGGUUGUUUCCAUGUCUUGGCUAUUGUGCUGCAAUGAACAUGCAGGUGCAUGUGUCUUUUUUAAGGAAAGUUUUGUCCAAAUAUAUGCCCAAGAGUAGGAUUGCUGGGGCAUAUGAUAGUUCUAUGUAUAGUUUUCUAAGGUACCUCCAUACUGUUCUCCAUAGUGGUUGUACCAGCUUACAUUCCCACGAACAGUUCAGGAGGUUUCCCUUUUCUCCACACCCUCUCCAGCGUUUGUUAUUUGUGGACUUCGUAAUGAUGGCCGCUCUGACUGGCGUGAGGUAAUGAGAUCCUGCUGUGUAGCACUGGGAACUAUAUCUAGUCACUUAUGAUGGAGCAUGAUAUUGUGGGAAAAAAUAAUCUAUACAUGUACGUGUAACUGGGUCACCGUGUUGCCCAGUAGACAAUGGACAGAACACUGUAAACCAGCUAUAAU
RNAcentral lists this long non-coding RNA (8250 nucleotides) under Sus scrofa (pig). RNAcentral's name for it is "lncRNA (ENSSSCG00005018856.1)". Lineage: Eukaryota; Metazoa; Chordata; Mammalia; Artiodactyla; Suidae. The record is from RNAcentral.